AUGAACGUCGUAAUGAUUCGAUAAGGUGUUAAACAGCGUUGCAUCCGGAGACACCACCUAUGUUAGUGUAUGGCUAACAUAGAACAAAUGUUCUGAGAGCCUCGGUUAGGGUUGGCGGUUCAGACUAGGAACCGCCUAAACACCAGUCCGGUUGAAUAAUCUUGUACGGUCUUCAUUUGGGUUUUGUGUUACUCCAGACGUCACCACACUGCCAUCAGCAAGGGUGUAAAGGUAAAAGGUCCCACUCAAGAGGCCCACUAACAGUAAAAGGGUCCAAUUGCUUUAACAAAUUAAACUGGUCCAUUUAAGAUUUGUUUUAGGAGCCCCCCCCAAAAUUAAAAGUGAAGCUCACUACCCUUGGUGGGGCUGGAGCAAGUUGUGUAGUCGCGAGGGGUGGACGAAAUAUGGCAAGUUGUCACAUGCCUAAUCGACAACUCUGCAAGUUGAAGCGUUCCAUAAAGGUCAUUCGUCAAAUCUAGAAUUUUUCGACCACAAUGGCACAAAUCGCUGAUUUGCAAGGGGCUAGGCAAAUGUCAUGACUUGGGUUGUCUGUAGUUAGUAGUCGACUAGCCUCAGGAGUGACUCGUGAGGCGAUUAGACGAGCACAAAUAGG
RNAcentral lists this long non-coding RNA (613 nucleotides) under Helianthus annuus (common sunflower). RNAcentral's name for it is "hypothetical non coding rna". Lineage: Eukaryota; Viridiplantae; Streptophyta; Magnoliopsida; Asterales; Asteraceae. The record is from RNAcentral.